Molecule: transfer RNA, 73 nt
Filed under: Pseudoclavibacter caeni
Lineage: Bacteria; Bacillati; Actinomycetota; Actinomycetes; Micrococcales; Microbacteriaceae
Also listed under: 6 other names
Description: Pseudoclavibacter sp. MJ28 tRNA
Rfam family: tRNA
About the family: Transfer RNA (tRNA) molecules are approximately 80 nucleotides in length. Their secondary structure includes four short double-helical elements and three loops (D, anti-codon, and T loops).
Source: Rfam by way of RNAcentral
GCCACCUUAGCUCAGUCGGUAGAGCACUUCACUCGUAAUGAAGGGGUCGCGAGUUCGAUUCUCGCAGGUGGCU